CGGUGGAGCAUGUGGUUUAAUUCGAUGCAACGCGAAGACCCUUACCUUCUCUUGACAUCCACGGAAUUCUCCAGAGAUGGAUUAGUGCCUUCGGGAACCCUCAGACCGGUGCUGCAUGGCUGUCGUCAGAUCGUGUUGUGAAAUGAUGGGUUAAGUCCCGCAACGAGCGCAACCCUUAUCCUUUGUUGCCAGCACGUAAUGGUGGGAACUCAAAGGAGACUGCCGGUGAUAAACCGGAGGAAGGUGGGGAUGACGUCAAGUCAUCAUGGCCCUUACGAGUAGGGCUACACACGUGCUACAAUGGCAUAUACAAAGAGAAGCGAACUCGCGAGACCCAGCGGCCCUCAUAAAGUAUGUCGUAGUCCGGAUUGCAGUCUGCAACUAGACUCCAGAAGUCGGAAUCGCUAAGUAAUCGUAGAUCAGAAUGUUACGGUGAAUACGUUCCCGGCUUUCCUUCUCUCCGCCCGUCACCCCAUGGGAUACACGCGCUUCCCCCCUUUUUCCUCAUUCCUC
Molecule: ribosomal RNA, 513 nt
Filed under: Rahnella sp. SS38
Lineage: Bacteria; Pseudomonadati; Pseudomonadota; Gammaproteobacteria; Enterobacterales; Yersiniaceae
Description: bacterial SSU rRNA
Rfam family: Bacterial small subunit ribosomal RNA
Source: RNAcentral